Non-coding RNA from Rhamnusium bicolor, 70 nucleotides. The record is from the annotation of a GenBank genome assembly. NCBI's taxonomy places the organism in Eukaryota, Metazoa, Arthropoda, Insecta, Coleoptera, Cerambycidae.
GGCUUCGUGGUCCAGUGGUAGGGACACUUCACCCUGGAGUCCUGGGUUCGAUCCCCAGUCGACGAGGUAG